Molecule: long non-coding RNA, 1781 nt
Organism: Aquila chrysaetos chrysaetos
Lineage: Eukaryota; Metazoa; Chordata; Aves; Accipitriformes; Accipitridae
Exons: 2
Source: RefSeq, a predicted model, not a curated record
GUAGGACUUACCUUUCCGGACCUUUGAUCUCUAGAGGAAUUUAGCUCGCAGCUUUCAUUAAGACCUGUGUCUUUAAAGCAGUAGAGCUGAUUUUCUGAGGAGAUGAAAAAAGAGCUGUUGCUUAAAAUGACUGAACUGCUACAAACUUUUUUGGUAAAAUUCAUGCUUAGUGAUGUGUGGUGUUUUGGCUUUUAAACUUCCUUAAUGCUUUUAGAAUUGAAAACAUAAUAUUUUCCUUGGAAAAGGUGGCCCAGCAAUAAUCACAGUUUAGCUGACAUAAAGCUGAUUGAAUGGAUUAUCUUUCUGAAAUCAGUUGAUUUUCAAGAUUUGAAAUAUAAACCUGGCAAUAUCUCUGUGUUAAACUUAAAAAUGUAUUUCCUUUAAUAUUUUUUUUUUUUUCCUAAACCUUGAAGUUAAAUUUAAAAAUAGGAUCUGGUUUGAGCACAUUUUCUGAUGCCAGAAGAAACAGGAGAAAGUCUGUAGUGGUAGAAGAAGUCUUUGAUGAGAGGUCACACAAGGCCAAACCAAAAUCUUGCUCCUCUGCCUGGCGUUUUUGCAGCACUGGGAGCUAGCUACACUGGUGUGUAAUUAUCCUAGACCUACUGCGGAGAGGGAAUGGGAGGAAGGAGAGUCCUCCCCCCUUGAUAAGGACAUGUCUCGUUUGCGGUGGGAUGGUAAAAUAGUGUAACAUAAAUCGCUUUGCUUGUGAGUACCCUGAUUUACAUGAGUAUGGGUGCUGGAGGGAAAGAACAUUUGUCAGACCUGGUUGAAUCCUGACAUCUUACUGUGCUUUCAAGCUCUGCUUUCCCUUUCCUCUGUUCUUCAUCUCUCCUCAUUUCUUUCCAUCCCCUUAAAUGCAUGAGUUUCCUACCACAUUUGCCCUGUGUUGAGCAUCAGUUGCUUCCAGCUGAGGCUGGGGCUUUCUCCUGGAGCCGUUCUUGGAUCAUACUGCCUGCUGCAUCACGUUGCAUUUACUGUACUCCAGAUGCAGCUCCCUUCAUCUAUGGUAUAUGUUCUGACCAUCUUCCAGUUAAGGUUUGGCAGAGACCACAAGUGAUCUUUCUGGACACAGUCGUGUAACUGGCUGUCUGGAUGGGAGCUGCUGUCCUCAGACAGGUCUACGAGGACAAAUUGUCCUCUCUUCUGGACCAAAAGUGUGAGGAUCCUUCAGGAGCAGCAUACUGUUAUCCCAAUUGUAGGAAAACCUUGCUCAUAAAUAGAGGUGUGGGGUGUUUACGGGCAAGGAUACUACUUGACCCUGUAAGCAGCUGUGUUGUGCUUGGUUGUUGAACUGUGCUAUCUUAAAUCCUCAAAAUUAUAGUAACUCUCCAAAUAGAUAACCUCAAAAUAUGUUUCACUUUAGAAUUCCAAAAAGCGAGGCUUCUCAGUCAUACCAGGAAAGCAAGUGAGAGAGAGAAAAUGGUUUUGUCACAGCACACAAGUGUGAUGGCAGUGGUGAGGGUGAUACUGUUAAUAAAACACAAAUAUAAGAAUUGGCUUCUAUCUAUCUAUCCCCGGUUCUUACUUAGUCUUGAUAGCAAUCUUGGGAUGAACUUGUCCUUUGUAAAGCAAACUGGAAAACUUUUUAGGCAGUUGAACAUCUUGCAAUUUUUCCUGUCUUUUCUCUAUUUGCCAAGAGUGAUAAACUAGCAUAUUGUGGCUUGAUCAAAAACAGUUUAAGGCUGGCUGAUAAACGAAAUUAUUCCUACAGAUUUUGUAUCAUUUGGGGUCUUAUUUAAAAAAAAAACAACAACCAAAAAAACCAACAACAAACAAACAAA